GUGAACGCUGGCGGUAGGCCUAACACCUGCAAGUCGAACGGCAGCACAGUAAGAGCUUGCUCUUACGGGUGGCGAGUGGCGGACGGGUGAGGAAUACAUCGGAAUCUACUUUUUCGUGGGGGAUAACGUAGGGAAACUUACGCUAAUACCGCAUACGACCUACGGGUGAAAGCAGGGGAUCUUCGGACCUUGCGCGAUUGAAUGAGCCGAUGUCGGAUUAGCUAGUUGGCGGGGUAAAGGCCCACCAAGGCGACGAUCCGUAGCUGGUCUGAGAGGAUGAUCAGCCACACUGGAACUGAGACACGGUCCAGACUCCUACGGGAGGCAGCAGGGGGGAAUAUUGGACAAUGGGCGCAAGCCUGAUCCAGCCAUACCGCGUGGGUGAAGAAGGCCUGCGGGUUGUAAAGCCCUUUUGUUGGGAAAGAAAAGCAGCAGGUUAAUACCCCGCUGUUCUGACGGUACCCAAAGAAUAAGCACCGGCUAACUUCGU
RNAcentral lists this ribosomal RNA (490 nucleotides) under uncultured bacterium. RNAcentral describes it as "partial 16S ribosomal RNA". It matches the Rfam family "Bacterial small subunit ribosomal RNA", at positions 29 to 506 of the family's 1533-position model. The record is from RNAcentral.